Scylla paramamosain (green mud crab) is the source of this 1172-nucleotide long non-coding RNA. RefSeq lists it as uncharacterized. The transcript is spliced from 3 exons. The record is from RefSeq and is a predicted model, not a curated record. Lineage: Eukaryota; Metazoa; Arthropoda; Malacostraca; Decapoda; Portunidae.
GAGAGGGAGAGGAGGCAGAGGAGGGAGGUUAGAAGGACGACGAGAGGUAAAGAGAGGGUCUGGUCAAGCCUAUAUAAGCCCAGUCACACACUUCCUUCCUCACCACUUCGUCUCCUUCGUCUGCACCUCCUUAAGUAGUUAUGAUCGCCUCCACCUCAAGAAUGGGGGCCGUGGCGGUGAUGGUGGUGGUGGCCCUCCUCGCCCCUCACACCAGUGCCACGCCCUUCAGAUUCGGAUCCAAGAAGCGAGACCAAGCCGACCCAUCCUCCUCUCCCUCCCCCGUUCCUCCUCCUCCUGCCUUCCCCGCCACUGAUGGAGCAGGACUGGGAGGGCUUGGAAAUAAGGGAGACACGGGGGUGCUUCUUCCUCCCAUUGGCGCAGACACAGGACUAGGAGGAGGGGGAAUAGGAGGAGGAAAAGGAGGACUAGGCUUAGGAGGACAAGGAGGACUGGGUUUAGGAGGAGCAGGAGAAACUGGAUUCUUCGCGGUUGUUGACGGAAUAGACGAUGGAAUUGACGUACUAAUGGACGGAGGAAUAGGAUUAGGAGUAGGAGGAGGAGCUGGAGGACUAGACGCAUCCAACACUCUAUUCGUGAAAGAUGAAGCGGUACUAGACAACCCCUUCAGCACGAGCAGCCAGGAAAUUACAGCCCUCGUGCCCGCCUCUACCACCUCCAUCUUCAACAGGGCAGGCCAAAGAACCCCCUGCAUGCGCGUGUACCGCCUCGCCAAGAACUUAAAGGGGCGUCUCUUCCAAAGGGGGAACAGAAGGGGAAACAGAGGAGGCAGAGGAAGGCGCUUUGGGGAGGAGGUUCUGGGGAGGAUCUUGUGUUUGAUUCCUGAUUCACUGAGGGCUUCCCGCAGACGUGGUUGAGUGGGAAGGUCUCCCUCUUCCCUCUCACUAUCCCAGACAACCCACCACCCUCUUCCCUGAGUCUCGCUAUUUCCUCACCACGACCAAGCAACGCACCACAAGACAAGCAGGAAAAAAAAAAUAUAUAUAUAUAUAAACAAACUAAAAGUACCACAGAAUUAUAUGACACUAAAAGCAAAAACACAUGAAAAAAAAGGAGAAAAAAUGAAACGGUAAAACAAAAUAGAUAAAAAACGAUACGUUCAUCCCUACACACACACACACACACACACACACACACACACACACACACACACA